Molecule: ribosomal RNA, 861 nt
Filed under: Goidanichiella barronii
Lineage: Eukaryota; Fungi; Ascomycota
Description: LSU rRNA
Rfam family: Eukaryotic large subunit ribosomal RNA
Source: RNAcentral
CCAACAGGGAUUGCCUUAGUAACGGCGAGUGAAGCGGCAACAGCUCAAAUUUGAAAUCGCGCAAGCGAGUUGUAAUUUGCAGAGGAUGCUUUGGGUACAGUGUUUUCCGAGUUCCCUGGAACGGGACGCCAGAGAGGGUGAGAGCCCCGUACGGUCUAACACUAAGCCUAUGUAAAGCUCCUUCGAAGAGUCGAGUAGUUUGGGAAUGCUGCUCAAAGUGGGAGGUAAAUCUCUCCUAAAGCUAAAUAUUGGCCAGAGACCGAUAGCGCACAAGUAGAGUGAUCGAAAGAUGAAAAGCACUUUGAAAAGAGAGUUAAACAGCACGUGAAAUUGUUGAAAGGGAAGCGCUCGUGACCAGACUUGGCGGUGGUUGAUCUCCCUGGAUUCUUCCAGGUGUACUCAGCUACGGCUAGGCCAACAUCGGUUUCAGUGGUGGGAGAAAGACAGUAGGAAUGUGGCUCCUUUUGGAGUGUUAUAGCCUAUUGUGUAAUACCAUCAGUGGGACCGAGGCAUGCGAUAUCAAGGAUGUUGGCAUAAUGGUCGCUAGCGACCCGUCUUGAAACACGGACCAAGGAGUCAACCUAUUAUGCGAGUGUUUGGGUGUCAAGCCCUGACGCGAAAUGAAAGUGAACGCAGGUGAGAGCUUCGGCGCAUCAUCGACCGAUCCUGAUGUUCUCGGAUGGAUUUGAGUAAGAGCAUAAUGGGUUGGACCCGAAAGAAGGUGAACUAUGCUUGUAUAGGGUGAAGCCAGAGGAAACUCUGGUGGAGGCUCGCAGCGGUUCUGACGUGCAAAUCGAUCGUCAAAUAUGAGCAUGGGGGCGAAAGACUAAUCGAACCUUCUAGUAGCUGGUUCCAGCCGAA